Non-coding RNA from Paramuricea clavata, 99 nucleotides. Lineage: Eukaryota; Metazoa; Cnidaria; Anthozoa; Malacalcyonacea; Plexauridae. The record is from the annotation of a GenBank genome assembly.
AACAUUGUUAUAAACGGCCCGUGGAUGUCUUUGUUUAACAAAAGGUUAUGAUAAUUCAUAACCUUUUGUUAAACAAAGACAUCCACGGGCCGUUUAUAA